RNAcentral lists this ribosomal RNA (478 nucleotides) under uncultured bacterium. RNAcentral's name for it is "partial 16S ribosomal RNA". It matches the Rfam family "Bacterial small subunit ribosomal RNA", at positions 28 to 523 of the family's 1533-position model. The record is from RNAcentral.
GACGAACGCUGGCGGCGUGCUUAACACAUGCAAGUCGAACGGUAAGGCCCUUCGGGGUACACGAGUGGCGAACGGGUGAGUAACACGUGGGUGAUCUGCCCUGCACUUCGGGAUAAGCCUGGGAAACUGGGUCUAAUACCGGAUAGGACCACUGCCUGCAUGGGUGGUGGUGGAAAGCUUUUGCGGUGUGGGAUGGGCCCGCGGCCUACCAGCUUGUUGGUGGGGUGAUGGCCUACCAAGGCGACGACGGGUAGCCGGCCGGGGAGGGUGACCGGCCACACUGGGACUGAGAUACGGCCCAGACUCCUACGGGAGGCAGCAGUGGGGAAUAUUGCACAAUGGGCGCAAGCCUGAUGCAGCGACGCCGCGUGAGGGAUGACGGCCUUCGGGUUGUAAACCUCUUUCAGCACCGACGAAGCGCAAGUGACGGUAGGUGCAGAAGAAGGACCGGCCAACUACGUGCCAGCCGCCGCCGUAA